Molecule: long non-coding RNA, 705 nt
Organism: Corticium candelabrum
Lineage: Eukaryota; Metazoa; Porifera; Homoscleromorpha; Homosclerophorida; Plakinidae
Exons: 2
Source: RefSeq, a predicted model, not a curated record
AUACUAUUGUUUUUUUAUGUUAUGGUGUUACGUUCUGGUUAUAGUUUAUUUUACAGGUUGCAUACACUGGAGAUGAUUUUAUGAUUUGGAAUGCAUUAACUUAAUUAGAAUGUCAGGAGUGACUGACAUUCAGCCAAUGUGGCUCAAGACAUCCAGUAACGUGCUGAUUACAUCACCUUAUCUACUGGUGGCAAUGGUGCAGUAAGGGAAGUUUGCAAGUAUGUUAUGGACAUGUGCUGAACUCAACAGAAUCUGUGGCUAAUCAUUAGAGAAUCAAGAUGAGAAAGAAAUAAGUUGCAAUAGGACAGUGUAAGGGUCAGAUAGUAUUUUACACUUCUAAAUUACAACUGUUCUUUCAGCUCCGCACGGUGUUAUCCGACUUCUCUGAAACAGAAGUCUGAAGUUGGGGGAAAAAUCGUCAGGGCGUUAGCAUCAGUAGAUUAUUAUAUUAGUUUGCUUUCUUUUUAGAGCUUUUGAGGCGUUAGCUAGAUGCUCUCUGGCAUAGAAUUUAGUGUAUUCUAGAAAGUAAUGAGCAACUUAUACUUUUAUUUAAUUAAUCGCUGUAGAUAGAUAUGUGGACUUGCUUUUUAAUUAAGUCGUCUGACAGUGACUUUGUAGAUGCAUGUGUAUAUAUAUUUUGCCUUUAGUUUUUCAAAAGUAGCGUACAAUAUAGCUAUAAAUUAAUAAAUACAGCACACUAGCUAA